AGUGGGGAAGUAACAAUACGGAAACGGUUGCUAAUACCGCAUAAUGCAGCGGCACCUAAUGGUGACAGUUGUUAAAGCGGGGAUCGAAAGACCUCGCGUCUGAAGAGGAGCCUGCGGCGGAUUAGCUAGUUGGUAGGGUAAUGGCCUACCAAGGCGACGAUCCGUAGCCGGCCUGAGAGGGCGGUCGGCCACACUGACACUGACAUACGGGUCAG
RNAcentral lists this ribosomal RNA (215 nucleotides) under uncultured bacterium. RNAcentral describes it as "partial 16S ribosomal RNA". It matches the Rfam family "Bacterial small subunit ribosomal RNA", at positions 134 to 334 of the family's 1533-position model. The record is from RNAcentral.